Molecule: ribosomal RNA, 787 nt
Filed under: uncultured Acaulospora
Lineage: Eukaryota; Fungi; Glomeromycota; Glomeromycetes; Diversisporales; Acaulosporaceae
Description: SSU rRNA
Rfam family: Eukaryotic small subunit ribosomal RNA
Source: RNAcentral
AUGGUAGGAUAGAGGCCUACCAUGGUUUUAACGGGUAACGGGGAAUUAGGGUUCGAUUCCGGAGAGGGAGCCUGAGAAACGGCUACCACAUCCAAGGAAGGCAGCAGGCGCGCAAAUUACCCAAUCCCGACACGGGGAGGUAGUGACAAUAAAUAACAAUAUGGGGCUCUUACGAGUCUCGUAAUUGGAAUGAGUACAAUUUAAAUCUCUUAACGAGGAACAAUUGGAGGGCAAGUCUGGUGCCAGCAGCCGCGGUAAUUCCAGCUCCAAUAGCGUAUAUUAAAGUUGUUGCAGUUAAAAAGCUCGUAGUUGAAUUUCGGAAUCUGUCCGUCGGUCGGGCUUCACUGUCCGUACUGGUGUGAUGGGUUUCUACCUUCUGAAUAACCGGCAUGUCAUUAAUUUGGUGCGCCGGGGAAGCAGAACUAUUACCUUGAAAAAAUUAGAGUGCUUAAAGCAGGCUAUCGCCUGAAUAGAUUAGCAUGGAAUAAUAAAAUAGGACGGCAUGGUUCUAUUUUGUUGGUUUCUAGGAUCACCGUAAUGAUUAAUAGGGAUAGUUGGGGGCAUUAGUAUUCAAUUGUCAGAGGUGAAAUUCUUGGAUUUAUUGAAGACUAACUUCUGCGAAAGCAUUUGCCAAGGAUGUUUUCAUUAAUCAAGAACGAAAGUUAGGGGAUCGAAGACGAUCAGAUACCGUCGUAGUCUUAACCAUAAACUAUGCCGACUAGGGAUCGGACGAUGUUAAUUUUUUAAUGACUCGUUCGGCGCCUUACGGGAAACCAAAGUGUUUGGG